RNAcentral lists this long non-coding RNA (718 nucleotides) under Salmo salar (Atlantic salmon). RNAcentral describes it as "lncRNA (ENSSSAG00000085674.1)". The record is from RNAcentral. Lineage: Eukaryota; Metazoa; Chordata; Actinopteri; Salmoniformes; Salmonidae.
CACAAACACAGAGCUACUGAAAAUUGUUAUUUGUCCAGUCUAAAUUUGACCAACUGGGGACAUUUUGUUGAACCCCACAAGGUCAAAUGCUAUUUCUAAGGGGUUUAGGGUUAAGGUUAGAAUUAGUGUUAGGGUUAGAAUUAGGGUUAGGGUUAGAAUUAGGGUUAGGGUUAGGCGCUAGGGUUAGGUUUAGGGUUAGGAGCUAGAGUUAGGGUUAGGGUUAGGGUUAGCGUUAGGGUUAGGGUUAGGAGCUAGAGUUAGGGUUAGGAGCUAGGGUUAGGGUUAGGAGCUAGGGUUAGGUUUAGGGUUAGGAGCUAGAGUUAGGGUUAGGAGCUAGGGUUAGGGUUAGGAGCUAGAGUUAGGGUUAGGAGCUAGGGUUAGGGUUAGGAGCUAGGGUUAGGUUUAGGGGUUAGGAGCUAGAGUUAGGUUUAGGGGUUAGGAGCUAGGGUUAGGUUUAGGGGUUAGGAGCUAGGGUUAGGUUUAGGGGUUAGGAGCUAGGGUUAGGUUUAGGGGUUAGGAGCUAGAGUUAGGUUUAGGGGUUAGGAGCUAGGGUUAGGUUUAGGGGUUGGAGCUAGAGUUAGGUUUAGGGGUUAGGAGCUAGAGUUAGGUUUAGGGUUAGGAGCUAGAGUUAGGUUUAGGGGUUAGGAGCUAGGAGCUAGAGUUAGGUUUAGGGGUUAGGAGCUAGGAGCUAGAGUUAGGUUUAGGGGUUAGGAGCUAG